Molecule: ribosomal RNA, 517 nt
Filed under: Neogloboquadrina pachyderma
Lineage: Eukaryota; Foraminifera; Rotaliida; Globorotaliidae
Description: SSU rRNA
Rfam family: Eukaryotic small subunit ribosomal RNA
Source: RNAcentral
GCACCACAAGAACGCGUGGAGCAUGUGGCUUAAUUUGACUCAACGCGGGAAAUCUUACCGGGUCCGGACACACUGAGGAUUGACAGGCAAUAUCUCAUGUUAACGGUAAGUUUCUAACUUACCGCUUAGCAUCGAGUGUUAAAUAUGCUAGUCCUUUCAUGAUUAUGUGAUAGGUGGUGCAUGGCCGUUCUUAGUUCGUGGAGUGAUCUGUCUGCUUAAUUGCGUUUCACUAAGGGCCCAUAAAUUCAAGGUAUGUUAGCUCUCGUCGCUCUAUGGACCCCUUAACUCCAAUAUUCUUAUUGUGUUAAGCGCGUGUCUUUAUUUUAAGAGUUUUAAGACACUGCGCAUGCUGUUGGGCUCUGAAAGCAACGAACGUGACCGCAACGUCUUGUUGCCUUAAACUAGCGUAUAUUGCAAUUUAUUGCAAUAUCGCUUACAGAGGCUAUUUAAAACUAGACGGACCGCUGUUUCUUUCUUAAACCAGAGGAAGGUUGCGGCAAUAACAGGUCUGUGAUGC